CGUCUAGAUUUAAAAUGUAGCAUCUAUUGCAGUGUGUCACAGCACCAUGGAUUGUAUCUUCCAGGGGGCUCAUAAACUUGUUACAGCCUUUCUGAAGGAAGCAAGGCACACUUGUCCACAAUGCUUCCCCAAAAGCCCAGUGUGAGAUCUCACUCUUGUACUGCAAUCCUUCAAGACCUCUGUUUAUGACCCAAUGUUGGAUGUCAAAAUGAAAUGGAUCCUCUCUUUUUACCUGGCAAUUACUUCAACAAAAAGUUUGGAAGAACUGCAUGCCUUGCAGGCCACAUGAUUCUGGAGUGACCUUGUGGCUGAAGGGGUUUUAAAAUCUUUUCACCCAUUUUGUUAACCAAUCUAUUGAUCUCACAGCAUUCCAUGGAAGGGAACCGUUUGAGGAAAGAAACAGGGAGUCUAAAUAGGGAGUGUCUAAAUAGAGACUGCCCCACUGGGUGGUGGAUGUUGCCAGGGCAAUACCAUGACAUUCCACUAUAAGAGGAGCAUCUCCACCUCCUGGGCAUUACUUAGAUGUCUGCUGCUCCAGGAAGUCCCUGGUGGAAAAUCAGGGAGAAGGUUCCAUGGAAACUUAUAACAAUGGUAUUUACAUCAAAUAUUACAUCGUAUGGUCACUUUGUGACUUUGUUGAAGGUGUUCGGAAUGCGUGUGAGAGCGCCCAAAAUGUAUCUGGGUUAUUCUCACUGCUCCUGUUAUUCACAGAACCACACUUACAUACAUAAAUAGUCAUUAGUAACACUUACUAUUAUACUAGUAGUCCUACAAUUCAUCAAUUAAAUCAUAACAAAUUAGAAAAAAGUGGAACAUUUCAAUAUAAUGUGGUUAUGUCUGUGGUUAUGACUGUAUGUGUGAUGUGUUGCAGGAAUGACACAGGGAUAUUUGUUUCUGAGAUAAGUCAGGGAGGGGUGGUUGAGUCAGAUGGGAGACUCUCACUUGGUGAUCAGAUUCUGUCAGUAAAUGGAGAGGACAUCAGAGCUGUGACUCAAGACUACGCCCGCACACUACUACAGAACUGCAGUGGAUCAGUGGUGCUGGAGGUAGCACGUUUUAGAGCUACUCCACAUUAUUCAUAUGAGUGCCAGAAUAAUCUACCAGGUUGUUGAUUUGAAUUCCUCCGCUUUCCAUCUCCUGCUUCUUGUUACUGUAAGUGCAUCUCACACAUUAAAGUCCAUGUCUAUGGUUACCAAAAUCAUUUUGAAAUGAAUAUGACUGACUAAUCAACAAUCAUCACUGACAUUUACAGCUUUGGAAAGGAAUGUAGUAGAAACGUGGAGCCUGUCUCCGGCAAACGCCUGGUGCCGCUGAGGGAUGAGCAGGAGAAUCGUCAGGAGAAUCACACACUCAGGAGCGUUGGAGAAUUUGAGACGCUCCAGUGGCAUCACACACAUCACACUGUCAUAUGGUCAUAUUUUAAAUCUUGAUAGAAUGCAGUUUCAGCUGUGUGGUGGACAAUUUAAAAAAAGAGUGAAAAUAUGGUUUAAAAAAUCCACCUUUACAUUUCACCAUAUAGGUUAAAAAUCUAUAUUUCUAUCUGUUAUUUCACUUAAAGCCCUUACAAUCUCAGAAAUUGUUAGUGGGUGCACAUUUACCGUUCCUCAUUCCUAUUACUGUACACAUUUUCCUAUGAGCUUCACUGUUGGUUCUAAAUAAUUCACAGUGGUUACUAACUAAAAUGCUUCAAGAUGAAUAACUAAAGCUGUGUGCGCUUUGCGCACAAGCAAAGGAUUCUGGGACCCUAUUCUGUCUUCUACACUUUAUAAUCAAGAAGUGAAAUCUGUAACAGAGCAUCCAUCCAGUGUGUAGCUCGUCUAUUAAAAUUCUGCAAGUUGUCGUUUGGUAGAAAUAGUCUGAAAUAUGGUGUGAACUGGAAACGGAUACAACUAGAAAGUCUUUCAUACGACAAGAGCUUGCAUAUUAAAACCAGAACAUCAUGUUGGAUCAGUUUUACACAUAAACUUCUUUUUUACCCAGUAUAUAAAGCACAGUCCAAAGUUUCUAAUUAGUGAGUGGAAAUAAUGAGAAAUACUCCAAAUUUGUAUUUCACUGUAGACCAUCUGUAACAAUCAGCCAAUCAACUCUUGCAGACUCGUGUUGUUCAGUGGGAGAAGACAACUCUACAUUCAACUCUACUCUAUCACUAUAUUUUUCAUCUUCGCUUCACUUUACUUAAGGCAGAAAUGAAUGUGAAGUGCUUCACUAACUAAUCACACUGUUCAGUAGGAUUAUUGCUGAAGCAAACACUUGGAGAAGUUAGACUCCUUAGGAGAAAGUAGGAUUGAACUUCAUUUAUUUUUGUAAGUACGUUUUAUAUUUAUCCCAAGCUUACCUACUUCAGCUGGACUGACACUGUGCAUCAUUCUUUGUCAUUUUGCCAUAUCUGCGAUUGCAUAGAAUACCAUUGUAAUCCUUAGAAUGGAGAAAUCUUGUUUUUGCUCAUGUUAUGAACAGUUUAAGUAAUGUGUUAUUUUUGAAAAAUCUAUAUAUUUAAGUCAUGACUUACUGCUAUAAAAAUUAUGUAUUCACAUAUAUUUUUAUAAGUAUGACACCUCUGUCUACUGCCCUUUACAUUUUAAUUAUCUCAAUAAAUCAGAUUUGGAAUUGAUUUAUAAUCUACAUUUAUUUAUUUGAUAGAUGAAUUUAUCUAUCACUCACAACUGAAAGAAAUGCAAUCACAGCAUUCACACAACGGAGAUGUUGCCAAAAGGGUCUUCAAAUUAACUUAGAACCCUAAGCACUGAGCUACCACACACACACACACACACACACUUUAUCUGAUACACCAUUUACUUACAAUCAUAUCACUGCCAAUUACUGCCUGUAGUCCAGAGGAUCCUGAACUGGAGGGUCACAAGCCCAUUUGGGGUCACUUGAUUUACAGAUGGGGUCAUGGGUGAAACUCCUCGUUAUUUUUUAUUCAUUUAUUUAUUUAAUAAUUAACAUCAGAAUUAACGCUCUAAAUAUGAAAAUGGAUUUUGCAUGCUACCAUUUUGAAAUGCUACUACAAGCCAGUCAAACAAUGCACAUUUAAGAGUGUACUAAAAUGCUAUUUUAGUCUUUCUCCGCUAACCUGACUGCACUAGCAUAGGAGUUCAGCAAUUAAAAACAGACAUUUUCCCAUCCAUCUACCUCAGCUAGUUCCUCAACAAUAUGGAGUGACUCUGACUCAUUGGAAGUAACAAAAAGACAAGCAAAUGAACACGAAAAUAUGCUGAAACCUUUAUUAAAUAUGGCUUUAUAUGAAACCAGUGUAGUUCAUUAGUUCCUUCCUUGAAUUACAUGCUAUAAAGUAUAAAACAGGACAAGGUGUGCUGUUAUAGGAAAAUAAUCAACGACAGAGUGGAUGCUGAUUCUUUAUACCACAGUGCUAUUGACUUCCUAUUGGUCAGAAGGUGCUGAUUAAUUCCCCAUUCCAGCAGCUCUGAUAGCAGAUUCAGCUGCAAGUUAA
Pangasianodon hypophthalmus (striped catfish) is the source of this 3454-nucleotide long non-coding RNA. RefSeq lists it as uncharacterized. The record is from RefSeq and is a predicted model, not a curated record. The transcript is spliced from 3 exons. Lineage: Eukaryota; Metazoa; Chordata; Actinopteri; Siluriformes; Pangasiidae.